This 468-nucleotide ribosomal RNA is filed under the name uncultured bacterium. RNAcentral's name for it is "partial 16S ribosomal RNA". It matches the Rfam family "Bacterial small subunit ribosomal RNA", at positions 28 to 507 of the family's 1533-position model. The record is from RNAcentral.
GACGAACGCUGGCGGCGUGCUUAACACAUGCAAGUCGAACGGAAAGGCCCUGCUUUUGUGGGGUGCUCGAGUGGCGAACGGGUGAGUAACACGUGAGUAACCUGCCCUUGACUGUGGGGUAACUUCAGGAAACUGGGGCUAAUACCGGAUAGGAGCUCCUGCUGCAUGUUGGGGGUUGGAAAGUUUCGGCGGUUGGGGAUGGACUCGCGGCUUAUCAGCUUGUUGGUGGGGUAGUGGCUUACCAAGGCUUUGACGGGUAGCCCGCCUGAGAGGGUGACCGGACACAUUGGGACUGAGAUACGCGCCAGACUCCUACGGGAGGCAGCAGUGGGGAAUAUUGCACAAUGGGCGGAAGCCUGAUGCAGAACAGCCGCGUGCGGGAUGACGGCGUUCGGGUUGUAAACCGCUUUCGCCUGUGACGAAGCGUGAGUGACGGUAAUGGGUAAAGAAGCACCGGCUAACUACGUG